CUGCCACGUGUCACAAUAAAUGAAACGCGGCGUCUCAAGCUUUGUGUUACCGUGUGGGCUUGAUUUCGAUGUGUGCAGAUGCUGUGUAAAUGGGAUUUUUGAUUGCUAAGGCCCUGGAAGAGGGAGAUGUCGUUGACCUAAUGUUUGCUUCGUCUCUCUGGCUACGGCGGCGAUACGACGAACGACUGUCGUCGGUUUCAUGUAACGCUUCGCGAGUCAACUCGCAUUAAUACCGACGCCCACUAAGAGACUUUCAAUGCGUUGUCCUUCUGGGAGAUCCCUAAUCUUCGUAUAUAUAUAUAUAGGGUGUUUUUUUCGAUUUGAAGUCCGGGAGGCGUCGUUCAGUUGUGGAGGCCAGGCUGCUGAGAUACUGGGAGGCUAGGAAUGUCAAGCCUGGGGCGAGCUUAUGUGGUUGGAUAUGCUCAUGAUCAAUGUUAAUAUAGACAAAUAUCAGAUUCACCAAAAGUCAUACCGAAAUUUAGGGUUCAUGUUUUCUUCAAUAUCUGCCACCAACAAUGUUCUUCUUCUCUCUUAUACCAACGAUGGAGUUUUGAGUUACUGUGAGUCAAAUCAACGUGAAAAAUCUCUGUGUGAGUCUUCUGAGUGUAUGGUGACCCGUCUUCCUCGCUUCUGGGAGGGUCGCAAUGUCAAGAAAGGAGGGGAUUUUAUAGGGGUUGGCAUUGUCUUUCUUGACGAGAAGUCACACUUAACUCAAGGAACGGUGUACGAGCUUUAUUGAUUUUCGGGGAUCAAGGCGGACGUAGAUCUCUGAAUGUGGUUGCAAUGGUUCUCAUCAGCAACUACAAAAUGACCAUCCUCAACUGCACCCUCGGGUUCACUUAAAACUUCAUUAUAUUCAGCUCCAUGUGCCUGUCAAGUUCUUUCUUUUGUUUACGAAGGUGCAGAGAUGUAUAAGAGACUACUAAUCACCCUAGGGUGAAGUUCACAGAUUUAGAAUGUUGUCUGGUGCGUGCUCUGAAGAAUUGUGUUGUAUCAGCUGAAGUUUAGCUGCUUGGUGGAGCUUCUUUGGGUGUGAUAAAGCUGUGAGAUCUAGAAGAUAUAAAGAGUUAGUUGAUAAAUUUCAUGCUCUCCUUUUAAAAAGUUGUUACUCCUUAUUGUCAAUUUGGACUAUGGGUGUUUUUUUUGAACAUAUCUAUCAUUUACUUUAAAUUAAUGAGAUCCACCAUUUUGAAUC
This is a long non-coding RNA of Raphanus sativus (radish), 1195 nucleotides long. RefSeq lists it as uncharacterized. The transcript has 6 exons. Lineage: Eukaryota; Viridiplantae; Streptophyta; Magnoliopsida; Brassicales; Brassicaceae. The record is from RefSeq and is a predicted model, not a curated record.